GCCUGUGUGGCAUAGUAGUUUGGGUGUUGGUCUAUGAUUCUGGAGACCAGAGGUUCAAUUCCUAGCUUGGCCA
Phrynosoma platyrhinos (Desert horned lizard) is the source of this 73-nucleotide non-coding RNA. The record is from the annotation of a GenBank genome assembly. NCBI's taxonomy places the organism in Eukaryota, Metazoa, Chordata, Lepidosauria, Squamata, Phrynosomatidae.